This 242-nucleotide ribosomal RNA is filed under the name uncultured bacterium. Its description in RNAcentral is "partial 16S ribosomal RNA". It matches the Rfam family "Bacterial small subunit ribosomal RNA", at positions 92 to 334 of the family's 1533-position model. The record is from RNAcentral.
CGACCGGCGCACGGGUGAGUAACGCGUAUCCAACCUGCCCACCACUUGGGGAUAACCUUGCGAAAGUAAGACUAAUACCCAAUGAUAUCUCUAGAAGACAUCUGAAAGAGAUUAAAGAUUUAUCGGUGAUGGAUGGGGAUGCGUCUGAUUAGCUUGUUGGCGGGGUAACGGCCCACCAAGGCAACGAUCAGUAGGGGUUCUGAGAGGAAGGUCCCCCACACUGGAACUGAGACACGGUCCAA